CAAUAGCGUAUAUUAAAGUUGUUGCGGUUAAAAAGCUCGUAGUUGGAGUUCUGCCAGGUGACACUCGUCCGCCCAAGUGGUGUGUACAGGGUGUGCAUCUGGCCCUUUCAAGGGGAACGUGUCUGCACUUCAUUGUGUGGUGCGAGAUCCUUGACUUUUACUUUGAGGAAAUAAGAGUGUUCCAAGCAGGCUCUCGUCGUGCAUAGCUCAGCAUGGAAUAAUAGCAUUGGACUUCGUUUCUACGCUGUUGGUUGCAAGAAGCGAGGUAAUGAUGAAGAGGGAUAGUUGGGGGCAUUCGUAUUUAACUGUCAGAGGUGAAAUUCUUGGAUUUGUUAUAGACGGACUACUGCGAAAGCAUCUGCCAUGGAUGUUUUCAUUGA
Molecule: ribosomal RNA, 380 nt
Filed under: uncultured eukaryote
Lineage: Eukaryota
Description: partial 18S ribosomal RNA
Rfam family: Eukaryotic small subunit ribosomal RNA
Source: RNAcentral